UGGAUGGCAAGAGGUCAGUGUUGGUGACACGGGUGUGGAAGGUUGACUGCUGGUUGUCUCGGAUGCUCUUUAUCUGGCCCCAGUGGAGAAGUCAUAAAAAGAAAACAAUCUGAGGAGUAAUGUCCGGGUAGCAGUCUUGAGAAGUAGUGUUGGCUCUCUCAAGGCCGAAACUUCAAAUGAAAUUAAUUAACUGGGUAGCAUUCUUGAGAAGUAGUGUUGGCUCUCUCAAGGCCGAAACUUCAAAUGAAAUUAAUUAAUGUAUAAUAGAAACGGUGUCCUCAGAAACUGAUGAAGUUCACACCACAUGUAAUGUACGCUUCCCAGUGUAUUAAUUUUCACUACAGGUCCAGUCGUAUGAGAGGUGAUGACCUGAGGUGGGAUAUUACUGUGAUCUGGUGGCUUAAAAGUCCCACCGGACUCUGAGCUACAUUAAUAUCAGGCAGGGCAACCCAAAAAAGAAAUACGUACUUCCAUGUCUCCACCCUUCCUUCAGAGUGCAGGCACUGUACUUCCCACCUCCAUACAUGUGGCUAACCGAUUUUUGAUACUGUGAGCGGAUGAGGUGGACGGCUGUGGUUUGUGGGCUGAGGUGGACGGCUGUGGUUUGUGGGCUGAGGUGGAUAGAUGUGGUUCUUAGGCCAAGGUCGGGUAUUCCAUCAUACAUGUCUACAGUGUUCUGCUCUGCAGUACUACACACAGUCUGCAUUUACUGUUGAUUGGAGCACUCAUACCAUGCAACUUUUUGUUGUAAAGUAAAA
This is a non-coding RNA of Cherax quadricarinatus, 758 nucleotides long. Lineage: Eukaryota; Metazoa; Arthropoda; Malacostraca; Decapoda; Parastacidae. The record is from RefSeq and is a predicted model, not a curated record.